AAUUUACACUCUCAGGACACAAUAGUACAAUAUAAUUAGUUUUUACUCUUUGUUCGAUUGAAUGAGAAAAAGUACUCGUCGCAAUGAUAUACUGUUAGGGCGUAACUGAGUAGUCUAUUUUUGUUCCGGUUUUGGUUCUUGUGAAGUUUGACAUCGAUUCGUUCCAAAUUUACACUCUCGGGGCAUAAUAGAACAAUAUAAUUAGUUUUUACUCUUUGUUCGACUGAAUGAGAAAAAGAACUCGUUGCAAAGUUAUACUGUUAGGGCGCAACAGAGUAGUCUACUUUUAUUCCGGUUUUGGUUCUUGUGUAGGUUGACAUCGAUUCGUUCUAAAUUUACACUCUCAGGGCAUAAUAGAACAAUAUAACACUACUACAAAAUCAUCAUUUAGCGUCAUUUACUCUGCAGCAUUUAUCUAAAUGAUGCUAAUUAAUAUAUUUAACGGCAUUACUUGAUAAUUGCCGCUAAAUUUAAUAGUUUAACAGCAUUUUACUAUUAAUGCUGCAAAAUAACAUAAAUUAGCAGCAUAAAUUAGUAAAUGCCGCUAAUGUUGCCGGCAUUUUCUAAAAAAUGAUGCUAAAUGCAAUAAAAUAGCAGCAUUUAUUGCUAAAUGCCGUCAUUAAACAAUAUAUAAUUAUUAAUAUAUCUCAUUUUCUACUUAACUUUAAAAUUUUUAAAUUAAAGUUUGAAAAUUUAGAAUUUGAAUUUUAAAAAUGUGAAACUUAUAAUUUAAAAACUUAGAACUUAUAAUCUAAAAUUUUAGAUUUUAAAUUUUAAAUUCUAAAAAUUUUAAUUUUAAUUUUUUACUUUUUUAAUUUUUUAAUUUUUUAAUAUUAUAUUAAACAAAAUUUAAA
RNAcentral lists this long non-coding RNA (854 nucleotides) under Ananas comosus (pineapple). RNAcentral describes it as "long non-coding RNA (ACOM_LNC039216)". The record is from RNAcentral. Lineage: Eukaryota; Viridiplantae; Streptophyta; Magnoliopsida; Poales; Bromeliaceae.